Molecule: ribosomal RNA, 513 nt
Filed under: uncultured bacterium
Lineage: Bacteria
Description: partial 16S ribosomal RNA
Rfam family: Bacterial small subunit ribosomal RNA
Source: RNAcentral
GACGAACGCUGGCGGCGUGCCUAAUACAUGCAAGUAGAACGCUGAAGAGAGGAGCUUGCUCUUCUUGGAUGAGUUGCGAACGGGUGAGUAACGCGUAGGUAACCUGCCUUGUAGCGGGGGAUAACUAUUGGAAACGAUAGCUAAUACCGCAUAACCAUGGAUGACUCAUGUCAUUUAUUUGAAAGGGGCAAAUGCUCCGCUACAAGAUGGACCUGGGUUGUAUUAGCUAGUAGGUGAGGUAACGGCUCACCUAGGCGACGAUACAUAGCCGACCUGAGAGGGUGAUCGGCCACACUGGGACUGAGACACGGCCCAGACUCCUACGGGAGGCAGCAGUAGGGAAUCUUCGGCAAUGGGGGCAACCCUGACCGAGCAACGCCGCGUGAGUGAAGAAGGUUUUCGGAUCGUAAAGCUCUGUUGUAAGUCAAGAACGAGUGCGAGAGUGGAAAGUUCGCACUGUGACGGUAGCUUACCAGAAAGGGACGGCUAACUACGUGCCAGCCGCCGCGGUAA